RNAcentral lists this ribosomal RNA (407 nucleotides) under uncultured bacterium. RNAcentral describes it as "partial 16S ribosomal RNA". It matches the Rfam family "Bacterial small subunit ribosomal RNA", at positions 28 to 526 of the family's 1533-position model. The record is from RNAcentral.
GACGAACGCUGGCGGCGUGCCUAAUACAUGCAAGUAGAACGCAGUUGCGAACGGGUGAGUAACGCGUAGGUAACUGCCUCAUAGCGGGGGAUAACUCUUGGAAACGAUAGCUAAUACCGCAUACUGUGAGAUGGACCUGCGUUGUAUUAGCUAGUUGGUGAGGUAAAGGCUCACCAUGGCGACGAUACCUAGCCGACCUGAGAGGGUGAUUCGCCACCCUUGGACUGUGAAACGGCCCCGACUCCCUCGGGAGGCAGCAGGUGGGAAUCUUUGGCCAUUGACGGAAGUCUGACCGCGCAACGCCGCGUGAGUGAAGAAGGUUUUCGGAGCGUUAAGCUCUGUUGUUAGAGAAGCGUUACCUACCCAGAAAGGGACGGCUAACUACGUGCCAGCAGCCGCGGUAAUAC